CAGAGGGGCAGGACUGGAGCUCCCAGAAACCCCUGAGGAGGCUGCUGUACACAUACAGGCAGCAGGGGACCAGGGUGGCCAGAGGAGGAUGGUGGCAGGAAAGAUGGAGAGGAGGGUUUGGAAGCCCAGGGGCCACACUCCACUCGGAGAUUGACUGAGUUUAGACAAACUGAGGGAGGAGUGUGGACAGACGCCCAGGUAGAUCUGCAAGCUGGCAAGGAGGACUGUCUGGAGAGAAGACCCUGUCACUUUGUGAGACCACCUGUCCUGUUUCACGUUAGUCUGGAGCUCCGUAGAAUAAAGUCUGUCCGGCGGUUCUGCCUUCAUCUGUAAAAAUGCUGUAUUUAUGGACCAAGAUCGAUUUUCCAUGUCUCAGAAAGUCUGUCAUUCUGCUCACGGCCAUUUGCCGACGAAUGUCUCUAGCAGAGAAGAGUAACAAGCAAGUUCAUGAGUUAUGGCUCUCCUUGAGCUUCUUUUAGUGAGACUAUUUUUAAUUUUAAGAAUAUCUGCUUUGAUUCAAGCCAUUAGAGCUGGAAGCAAAUAAAAAUGUGCCUGAAUUUUACAUGUCUCCCAUUUUAUAGCAGGAAUCCAGCUGAAGCCUACAUUUUAAUUCCUGCACUACUAAGGCCA
Molecule: long non-coding RNA, 630 nt
Filed under: Fukomys damarensis (Damara mole-rat)
Lineage: Eukaryota; Metazoa; Chordata; Mammalia; Rodentia; Bathyergidae
Description: lncRNA (ENSFDAG00000027084.1)
Source: RNAcentral